UGGGGGAUAUUGCACAAUGGGCGAAAGCCUGAUGCAGCGACGCCGCGUGGGGGAUGAAGGCCUUCGGGUUGUAAACUUCUUUUGCUCUGAACAAGGCAUGCCUUUGGGGUGUGUUGUGUGUAGGGGUUGAUUAGCGCCGGCUAACUACGUGCCAGCAGCCGCGGUAAUACGUAGGGCGCGAGCGUUGUCCGGAAUUAUUGGGCGUAAAGGGCUUGUAGGUGGCUGGUUGCGUCUGUCGUGAAAGCUCAUGGCUUAACUGUGGGUUUGCGGUGGGUACGGGCUGGGUUGAGUGGAGUAGGGGAGGCUGGAAUUCCUGGUGUGGCGGUGGAAUGCGCAGAUAUCAGGAGGAAUACCGGUGGCGAAGGCGGAUCUCUGGGCUGUUACUGACGCUGAGGAGCGAAAGCGUGGGGAGCGAACAGG
RNAcentral lists this ribosomal RNA (420 nucleotides) under Fusobacteriota bacterium. RNAcentral's name for it is "Fusobacteria bacterium partial 16S ribosomal RNA". It matches the Rfam family "Bacterial small subunit ribosomal RNA", at positions 355 to 776 of the family's 1533-position model. Lineage: Bacteria; Fusobacteriati; Fusobacteriota. The record is from RNAcentral.